UAGUUAUUUAUUGUUUCAUUUCCCAUCAUGGAAUAUGAUGUUGCAUUUUUCUUUAUGGUUUGAACAACUUUCCAUUGUCAGAUUGGAACCUAUUGCCUUAAGGUAUGAUAAAUAAUGACAUUAGAGUGUCUGGAUUGGUUGGUCUCAGGUUGGAUUUAAUUUGACUUAGUAUCGUUUUUUUUUUUUUUACAUGCAAGCAGAUGAAGCCUUUAAUUUGGAAAAUUUGGGAAAUUAAUUCGAUCCCAUCUAGAGUUGCACUAGUUAUUUAUAAUUCUGAUAUACUUAUGUUCUGUAGGAGUGUUUCUGGGUUGUAAAUGUCUUCCCCCUCUCCACCCCCGGCCACCUCUCUUCUUGGGGAGCACUUUUGCAGGAAUGGAAUGUGUUUGUCACAAUGAAAGUGGUUUUGUACUUUUGCAGGAGUGGAAUGUGUUUGUCAACAUGAAAGUGGUUUUUCACUUUAUAGGAGUGCAGUGUGUUUGUUAACAUAAAAUUGUUUUUGUACUUCUUCAAUACUGUGCAACCUCUAUCUCCAUCUCCAUCUCCACUUAAGAGGUCUUUUCUUAUCAUAAGUUAGUUAGAGAAUAAUGUUUUUUAGGUUUCUUUAGGAAGAAGUGGAAAAGCUUGUAGUUUUGCUUUUUUAACUGUAGUGCCCUUGACUAGGGUUGGGGACCUUCUUUCGCUAUUUAUUUUUCAUGUUUGUGGCUUUCUGCAGGUCGAAAUGGUGAAACCAUAUCGUGGUUCAUCAACAUCUUCUCCGGCAGCACUGAAGAUGUAAAAUAAGUAAAGGGGGAGGUGCGACACGUGACAUUCAAAAGAUCCUACUUCAAAGCAAAGGACUCGACACCAACUCAAGACACCUACUUAGAAGGAUGAACCAGGGGUUUCACACUUAAUUUGGACUAGGAUUUCAUUACACUUGUCCCAUAAAAGAGGAAAGAAGGAACAAAAUAAAUGAGAGUCUUGGCCAAAGCACCCUCCGGCCUCUUUUUUGUAGGACUCUCCCGGAGUUGACGGUCGACUUUUGGCUGCAACAGUUGGCGCCGUCCGUGGGAAGGAAAUUGCAGUGAUAACCAUAGGAUCUGUCUCUGGAAAACAGUGGCAAUGGCGAAUCUAUUCCAAAAGGGGUUUUUGAGUCAAAGAGUAGCAAGAGAGUAACCUCACUGUCAACUCCAUUUCUCAAGUUUGAGUUUUCUAGAGAUCUGGGUCCACCUGAGCGCGAGGAGGACAUCCAGAUCUGGUUUCCAUGCCGCCAACCAUGGUUUAAAGUAUUCACCAAGGCACCAGAAGACUUUCCGAACUUGGGAUGCUUGCUGGGGGUUGUAUGAGCGGUAAUGUCCACGUAUGGUUCAAAGUAGUAGAUUCAAAGACGAGUGCAAGCUUCGCCUCUGAAACAAAAUCAGGGGAGUAAUGAUACAUAUUUUCUCUGCCUGUCUUUAAAUUAAUUUAUUCACUCUAUAUUUGUUCUGUUGAUUAACUUAGAUUAUUAUGGAGAGAUAGCUUAGUUUGAACUGCCUCAAA
Long non-coding RNA from Macadamia integrifolia, 1518 nucleotides. RefSeq lists it as uncharacterized. The record is from RefSeq and is a predicted model, not a curated record. NCBI's taxonomy places the organism in Eukaryota, Viridiplantae, Streptophyta, Magnoliopsida, Proteales, Proteaceae. The transcript has 3 exons.